GAAAAUAGUGAGUAGCAGGAGCAGCAGCAACACAGUGAAAAGUUUAAGAAAAGAAAGAUACAUGGACGGAUUACGGAUGUAAACAAGAAAAUAAUGGUAAGCAGUCAUGAACUAGGAAAUGACUGUAAGUGUAAAAGACUGAGAUGUUUCGAGAAAACCAGUAGUGAAGAAAGGCAGAUACUUUUGAAGAACUUUAAUCUAUUAGCAUCAAACAAUGAACAAAGUUUACAUUUAUGUGGUUUGAUAAGAUGUAAAUCUAUUAAAAGAAGACGUCCUUAAAAAGAUGAAAAUGUAGCUCUAUUACAUGAUAAUUCAUAUACAUAUAGUGUCAAAGUGGUAAGACAAAAUGCAAUUUUAGAAGUCGAUGUGUGCUACAAGGCAUUUUUGGCAAUACAUGGGAUUACAAAAACCAAAUUAGAAUAUUUGCAAAAAUCCCUAAAAACAUCGGGUAAGGCCCCUGUUGAUUUGAGAGGUUGGAAGUAUUUAAAUCGACCUAGAAAAAUUUCUGACCAGACGAAUGAAAAUGUGGUUACCCAUAUUAAAUCAUUUCAGGGAAACAAAAGCCAUUAUGGUCUCAAAAAAUCAGAUCGUCUUUAUUUAAGUGAAUAUCUUAAUAUUGCAAAAAUGUAUAAACUAUAUCAAAACAAAUUUCCUAAUCAUCCUGUUUCAUACGAGUUCUAUAGAAAUGUUUUUAAUACAAAAUUCAACACAUCAUAUCGUUCGGGUACCCUCGUAAAGACACCUGUAGUGUUUGUGAUCAAUAUACUGCAACAAAAAAAGAUUUAACAUUAAAACUUGAAAAUAAUAAGAAUAUGCCAACUUUUACAUCAGUUCUUGCCGAGAUACAGAAAUCAUUGCUAACACUGGAGAAUGAAAAUAAGCUCCACAAAAUAAAGGCCCAAGUAUUUUACGACCGAAAAAAAUCUUCAAGAAUCAGGUGCCAGAAAGAUAAAGAUCGUGAAGCUAUCUGUCUCGAUUUCCAAAAGAAUGUACCCGUUCCAAACAUCACAACGAUGUUUACUACAAGAGACAGUUAUCUGUGUACCUGUUCAACAUUCACAUCUUAGCAAGUGGUGAGUCCGUCUUUUACGUAUAUCGAGAAACAGUGGCAAAAGGAAGUAACGAAGUUCUUCCAAUGCUAAAUCAUUUUGUUGAAAAUUACCUUGACCCCCAGAUAAAACACCUUGAAGUAUUUUGCGACUCGUGUGGGGGUCAAAAUAAAAACUAUAUCAUGAUCAAAUACAUGCAUUAUAUUGUUCAUAUCAAAAAAAGACUGGGGUCUUUUAAAAUAACUUUUCCAAUUAGGAGGCACUCUUAUUUAGAGUGCGCCCGAAACAUGGCCUCUCUGAACCAAAAACACCCUGUUGAGCUGCCGAGCCACUGGGUCGAAGAAAUAGAAAGGUUAAGCCAGCACCAUUUCAUGUGGAAAACCUGGAAGAGGGCCACGACAUAAUAAGAAACUGAGUUUUUUUUUUGUGAAGCUGAAUUAUAAGAAAAAUUGUCCGUUCGCAAUACGCCCUGUAAGGGAAAUCGAAAUCACAAUUAGGCACCCUCGACUUGUUUCACAUAGAUGUUCCUAUAAUGGGUGUCGGGAACAAAGCUCAGUACUACCACCUAUACAGACAAGAAUUUAUCCUGUAUUGCGAAAUGAUAAAUUUUUAUAUCCUGACCGAAAGUAUGAAGGUCUAAUCCCAAUAAGCGAGGAAAAAUUUAAAGAUUUGCAAGCUCUGAAAGUGUUCUGUUCUCAAGAAGCUCAAAACUAUUAUAAUAAGUUACCUCAUGCCGCUAAAAACAAAAAGAAAAAGCAGCAAUAAAACUACGGAGGUCUUAAAUCAAUAUGGAACAAAUACUAUAACUAUGAUAGAUGAAACCUCGAAAUAUUGGACAUUACCCCUUUUUACUUUGGAAAUUGAUUUUUUUUGGACAUUCCUCAUUUUUGCUAUGGAGAAUUGCAAGUUUUUUAGUUUUUUGUAUAUUUUUUGUAUUGAAAUGUGUUUUGAAAUACAAUGCUUUUGAAUACGUGUAGCAGACAGUUAAAUAAAUAAUAUUUGACAUAU
Anthonomus grandis grandis is the source of this 2057-nucleotide long non-coding RNA. RefSeq lists it as uncharacterized. The record is from RefSeq and is a predicted model, not a curated record. The transcript is spliced from 3 exons. Lineage: Eukaryota; Metazoa; Arthropoda; Insecta; Coleoptera; Curculionidae.